GAUGAACGCUGGCGGCGUGCCUAAUACAUGCAAGUCGAGCGAACAGACGAGGAGCUUGCUCCUCUGACGUUAGCGGCGGACGGGUGAGUAACACGUGGAUAACCUACCUAUAAGACUGGGAUAACUUCGGGAAACCGGAGCUAAUACCGGAUAAUAUAUUGAACCGCAUGGUUCAAUAGUGAAAGACGGUUUUGCUGGCACUUAUAGAUGGAUCCGCGCCGCAUUAGCUAGUUGGUAAGGUAACGGCUUACCAAGGCAACGAUGCGUAGCCGACCUGAGAGGGUGAUCGGCCACACUGGAACGGAGACACGGUCCAGACUCCUACGGGAGGCAGCAGUAGGGAAUCUUCCGCAAUGGGCGAAAGCCUGACGGAGCAACGCCGCGUGAGUGAUGAAGGUCUUCGGAUCGUAAAACUCUGUUAUUAGGGAAGAACAAAUGUGUAAGUAACUAUGCACGUCUUGACGGUACCUAAUCAGAAAGCCACGGCUAACUACGUG
RNAcentral lists this ribosomal RNA (497 nucleotides) under uncultured bacterium. Its description in RNAcentral is "partial 16S ribosomal RNA". It matches the Rfam family "Bacterial small subunit ribosomal RNA", at positions 28 to 507 of the family's 1533-position model. The record is from RNAcentral.